CAGAACUCUAAGAAAUAUAGGAAUGGCAGGUGUAAGGAGCAGUUACCACACCUAAGGCUUAUGGAGAGAGCCUGAGGUAGAGCCUCCGCCCCAUCCACCUCAGUCUCGGGGCUGAAUUCCAGACCUUGUUGGAGAAGGCAUGGCCAUGGCUCACUGGAUGGCAGGGAAGCUGCUGUGGUGCUGUACAAGAAGAACCUGCUGGAAACCUGCCCUUGAGAGUGCCAGGGAAAGCUGUUCACAGAGCGUUGUCUCUAUGACACAAGGCACUAGACUAUGAGAUUGCCCUGUGGGGAGACAAGGCAAAGCUCCUGGCCACUGGGUACUGCUGACCAUGUACCCUGAGGGGAUUGGGGCUGGGAAAGUCACCAUUACUGCAGGUGCUGGACACUGCUGAAGCCCUUGGGGCCACCAGAAACCUGGUGCUAAAGAAGCCCUGCCAGGUGCACAAGACAAGUGAGCUCCCAGAACCGCCUCUAUCCUGAAGAGCGUUGGACCCUGGAGCUGCUGGCCACAUCUUGAUCUGCCAUAUGUGGUCCAAGAAUGAAGUCAACACGAAGGAGAAUGAAGGUGCUGAGGGAUAAAGUUAUUGACAUUCUAGGAGCUCCUGGAUCAAACCAUGCCUGAACUCAAUUUAUCCCUUGAACUUUUCAAUUACAUGAAUAAAUCCUCCUUUUGCCUGAGUCAAUGUGGAUUAGUAUCAUUGGCAUUCAGAAGAUUCCUAAAGUCUCAGGUCUUCUGCACAUCUAUAACCAUGGCAAUUGCGGUCCUGCUCUCCUUUCCCCUCCCCUGAGCAGGCAAGCUUUCCUUCUCUAUCAUGUAAACCUCCUGGGUCAUUCAGAGUAUUUCUCAAAUGUUACCUGGAGUUUCCCAAGACUUCAGUUCUCACUGACCAUUUACUUCUUAAACUGCUAGGAUGAUAACCUAUAACUUUGCAUCUAACCAAUCCCUUAGCACUUUCCUUAGAGACUUCUUAGAGAUCUUUUUGAUGCCUAAGGGUAGGAAUCAGGGCUUCUCUAUCUUGUAUAUGCACUGCCCCCCACCCACAGGUCCAUAGAAUAACAGCUGAGGACCUGUAGCUCUACAAGGGCAGGGACUGUCAAACAUGCCAGACUGCACAUGGUAGUUACCACUAGAGGGCUCUGGGUAUGGGCAAUAAGCAGGACUUCUGCAUUUUACAUCUAUGCUAUCAUUCGAGUCUUGUAUGAGCAUUUAUUUUACAAAUCUCUAUCUUGCAAAGCAAACCCUUAGUGUGAAUAACUGAGGAGUGGUGGAUCGGCCAGCUCUUCCGUGCAGUGUUCUAAAGCCUCUUGCUCCUGUCUCUCCUGUGGGAAACCCAUAGUUACGGCUUCAAGCAGAGACCCAAGCACCACCUCAGGGUCUUGACCUUGUGUGGGAAUAAUCUAUCACCAAGAUGCAGACAGAGACAAACUGCUUCACAGAGCAUUUUAUCCCCUAGAAAAUCCCCAACCCCAGCAUCCUGGGUGCUGCCCAACCUCUUCAAAUACAAAGGCAAAUAAAAUAAAUAAAAGUAAAUAUUGUACUCAUAAGCAACAGAAUGCCUAGCAACCAAGAACAAGGGAGGGCUGGAGGAAGAAGGUUGACUUUCGCAGGCCCUUGUGUAUAAACUGCAGUAAAAGUCUUCUCUGUGUGAAUAAUAUAUUUUUGAGCGUUAAAUUAUAGAAGGUGUAAGGAAUGCUAAGGCUGAGACCCAACAGAGAGAGCUGGCCCCACCCUGAAUGGGAGGGGCAGGGGUCUCCUUGGUCUUUGUCCCUGCUGACUGGUAUUGAGGGAGGGGGAGUCUCCGCUGUAGCUUCAGGAAUGGAACACAGGGCACCAGGCCUCAGUUAAUCCCUUUAGGGACCCUUAGCCCUGAAACAAUGCUGGUGCAACCCCACAUGUAACUCAGAAGAAAAUGUUAAGUCACGAAAUAAAUGUAAGAGCUCUGAUGUUUUUCUAUAACACCCAUUUCAAUGCUUUGUUAGAAAGUAUGUACGUAAAGCACAUGACAUUGUUCUCAUUAAAUUUUUUUGUUACGAAAACUUUUAAACACACUCAGAAGAGUAGGAUUUUUGAACCUCUCAUCUGGGUACAAUAUUAUUAAAAUUCUGC
This 2109-nucleotide long non-coding RNA is filed under the name Homo sapiens (human). RNAcentral describes it as "HSALNT0169148". Lineage: Eukaryota; Metazoa; Chordata; Mammalia; Primates; Hominidae. The record is from RNAcentral.